RNAcentral lists this ribosomal RNA (318 nucleotides) under Triticum aestivum (bread wheat). RNAcentral's name for it is "partial small subunit ribosomal RNA". Lineage: Eukaryota; Viridiplantae; Streptophyta; Magnoliopsida; Poales; Poaceae. The record is from RNAcentral.
AUGUUUCCCUUAGCUUGGAGGAAGAACCUGACUGUUUGUGAAGCUCUGACCGAGGGAAGAUGGAUGCGUGGAAUUCAACGGAUGGUUACUGAGACCCAAAUCCACCAAUUCAUCAGGUUGUGGGAGAAGGUGCAAGUGAUCCAUUUGACUACUGAAAGGGACAAAAUCUCGUGGAAGCUCUCCAGCAAUGGUUGUUACUCGGCCAAGUCAGCUUAUGAUGCUCAGUUCAUCGGCCGGAUUGAACAGCCCCACCUUGGCAUGGUUUGGAGGACUAAGGCUAAGCAGAAAGUAAACUUCUAUACCUGGCUGCUUCUAUAG